AGAUGGCUAACUCAAUGAUGCGACUAAUCAGAUCGUGACGUGUGACAGCCACGUAAGUGGAUGCUCCACUUGUGGCUACCAUGCUGGCGAUUUACAUGUUAUCAAGUGAACAACCCUAAUUCCAUCGCUGGCUGAUCCAAUGGUCAAUGCAAUGAACGACUCAAAUUUACGGAGAACAGGCGUGAAACCACGAUAUGCAACCACUUGAGAUGAUGUGCUUGGCUUCUGACUCAGGUAAGGAUACCUGAACCCUCUUCGUAAUUAUUUGAUCGAAGUUUGGCCUUUA
Molecule: long non-coding RNA, 286 nt
Filed under: Carica papaya (papaya)
Lineage: Eukaryota; Viridiplantae; Streptophyta; Magnoliopsida; Brassicales; Caricaceae
Description: long non-coding RNA (CPAP_LNC011534)
Source: RNAcentral